This is a long non-coding RNA of Oncorhynchus keta (chum salmon), 643 nucleotides long. RefSeq lists it as uncharacterized. NCBI's taxonomy places the organism in Eukaryota, Metazoa, Chordata, Actinopteri, Salmoniformes, Salmonidae. The record is from RefSeq and is a predicted model, not a curated record. The transcript is spliced from 3 exons.
GCGAGAGGGGCAGCAGACAGUGGAAGGUCAGCAGAGCGAGAGGGGCAGCAGACAGUGGAAGGUCAGCAGAGCGAGAGGGGCAGCAGACAGUGGAAGGUCAGCAGAGCGAGAGGGGCAGCAGACAGUGGAAGGUCAGCAGAGCGAGAGGGGCAGCAGACAGUGGAAGGUCAGCAGAGCGAGAGGGGCAGCAGACAGUGGAAGGUCAGCAGAGCGAGAGGGGCAGCAGACAGUGGAAGGUCAGCAGAGCGAGAGGGGCAGCAGACAGUGGAAGGUCAGCAGAGCGAGAGGGGCAGCAGACAGUGGAAGGUCAGCAGAGCGAGAGGGGCAGCAGACAGUGGAAGGUCAGCAGAGCGAGAGGGGCAGCAGACAGUGGAAGGUCAGCAGAGCGAGAGGGGCAGCAGACAGUGGAAGGUCAGCAGAGCGAGAGGGGCAGCAGACAGUGGAAGGUCAGCAGAGCGAGAGGGGCAGCAGACAGUGGAAGGUCAGCAGAGCGAGAGGGGCAGCAGACAGUGGAAGGUCAGCAGAGCGAGAGGGGCAGCAGACAGUGGAAGGUCAGCAGAGCGAGAGGGGCAGCAGACAGUGGAAGGUCAGCAGAGCGAGAGGGGCAGCAGACAGUGGAAGGUCAGCAGAGUGAGAGGGGCAG